GACGAACGCUGGCGGCGUGCUUAACACAUGCCAGUCGAACGGAAAGGCCCUGCUUUUGUGGGGUGCUCGAGUGGCGAACGGGUGAGUAACACGUGAGUAACCUGCCCUUGACUUUGGGAUAACUUCAGGAAACUGGGGCUAAUACCGGAUAGGAGCUCCUGCUGCAUGGUGGGGGUUGGAAAGUUUCGGCGGUUGGGGAUGGGCUCGCGGCUUAUCAGCUUGUUGGUGGGUAGUGGCUUACCAAGGCUUUGACGGGUAGCCGGCCUGAGAGGGUGACCGGCCACAUUGGGACUGAGAUACGGCCCAGACUCCUACGGGAGGCAGCAGUGGGGAAUAUUGCACAAUGGGCGGAAGCCUGAUGCAGCAACGCCGCGUGCGGGAUGACGGCCUUCGGGUUGUAAACCGCUUUCGCCUGUGACGAAGCGUGAGUGACGGUAAUGGGUAAAGAAGCACCGGCUAACUACGUG
RNAcentral lists this ribosomal RNA (467 nucleotides) under uncultured bacterium. RNAcentral describes it as "partial 16S ribosomal RNA". It matches the Rfam family "Bacterial small subunit ribosomal RNA", at positions 28 to 507 of the family's 1533-position model. The record is from RNAcentral.